UAGGGAAUCUUCCACAAUGGACGAAAGUCUGAUGGAGCAACGCCGCGUGAGUGAUGAAGGUUUUCGGAUCGUAAAACUCUGUUGUAAGGGAAGAACAGGUGUGAGAGGUAAUGCUCAUGCUAUGACGGUACCUUACGAGAAAGCCACGGCUAACUACGUGCCAGCAGCCGCGGUAAUACGUAGGUGGCAAGCGUUGUCCGGAAUUAUUGGGCGUAAAGCGCGCGCAGGCGGCCUUUUAAGUCUGAUGUG
Molecule: ribosomal RNA, 249 nt
Filed under: uncultured Exiguobacterium sp.
Lineage: Bacteria; Bacillati; Bacillota; Bacilli; Caryophanales
Description: partial 16S ribosomal RNA
Rfam family: Bacterial small subunit ribosomal RNA
Source: RNAcentral